UACGGAGGGGGCUAGCGUUGUUCGGAAUUACUGGGCGUAAAGCGGGUGUAGGCGGAUCUCUAAGUCGGGGGUGAAAGCCCUGGGCUCAACCCAGGAAUUGCCUUCGAUACUGGAGAUCUCGAGUGUGGGAGAGGUGAGCGGAAUUCCGAGUGUAGAGGUGAAAUUCGUAGAUAUUCGGAGGAACACCAGAGGCGAAGGCGGCUCACUGGACCACUACUGACGCUGAGACCCGAAAGCGUGGGGAGCAAACAGG
RNAcentral lists this ribosomal RNA (253 nucleotides) under uncultured bacterium. Its description in RNAcentral is "partial 16S ribosomal RNA". It matches the Rfam family "Bacterial small subunit ribosomal RNA", at positions 524 to 776 of the family's 1533-position model. The record is from RNAcentral.